AUGCCCGCACCUAAAACGCCAACGCGGAUAGAUUUAAAAUUUAUCUUGCGAAAACAAGGACCAGUCCCAACAACAUGGCAUCUCCGAAAUGCUUCAACAAGUUGGUUUCUUCCCAAUAAAGGUCUGUGUGGUAACCUCUCUAGCCUGACUCCUUGUUAUUCAACUCUAGUACUUGGUCACCAUAAACAGAAGACACUUGGUUUGCAUUUGCCAAUUGUUCUUGUGGUGAGUUUCACCAUUGUUGCCGCAAUUAUUGUCUUAAUUAUUCUCAGUCGUAAAAAGAGAAAACCACAAGAAGGUGUAACUACUGAAGCAAGAUACCUAUUUUCUGUUUGGAAUUUUGAUGGAAGAAUGGCAUUUGAUGAUAUUAUAAGGGCAACAAAAGACUUCGACGACGAGUACAUCAUUGGAACAGGAGGAUACGGCAAAGUAUACAAAUCACAACUUCAAAACGGGCAGCUAGUUGCUGUGAAGAAGCUUCAUCAGACCGGGGAAGAGUUGGAUGAUGAAAGAAGAUUUCGCAGAGAAAUGGAAAUCUUAUCACAGAUCCGACAACGAAGCAUUGUCAAAAUGUAUGGAUUCUGCUCCCAUCCAGCAUAUAAAUUUCUUGUCUAUGACUACAUUGAGCAAGGCAGCCUCCACAGGACAUUGGAAAAUGAGGAGCUAGCAAAGGAAUUAGAUUGGAAGAAGAGAAUUGCUCUUGCAACUGAUGUGGCUCAAGCACUAUCUUAUUUGCACCACGAAUGUAGUCCACCUAUAAUCCAUCGAGAUAUCACAAGCAACAACAUCUUACUUGAUACAACCUUCAAGGCUUUUGUCUCGGAUUUUGGCACAGCAAGGAUUCUUAAGCCAGAUUCAUCAAACUGGAGUGCACUUGCAGGAACAUACGGCUACAUAGCUCCAGAACUCUCAUACACAUCUGUUGUGACGGAGAAAUGUGAUGUCUAUAGCUUUGGUGUGGUUGUGCUAGAGCUAUUGAUGGGGAAGCAUCCAAUGGAUCUAUUAGACGGUAGUUUGUCGAGUGGGGAACAACAUAUACUGGUAAAAGAUAUUCUAGACCAACGGCCGACAACACCAACAACAGAACAGAAUAGCUUACUUCUGCUCAUCAAGCUGGCCUUUUCUUGCUUGGAAUCUUCUCCACAAGCAAGGCCAACCAUGCGGGAGGCAUACCAAACACUCAUCCAACAACCUUCUUCUAGUUCCUGCCCCGUGCCUUUCAGUGCACUUACAUUGCAGCAAGGGAGUGAUGCAUGUUGA
This 1260-nucleotide ribosomal RNA is filed under the name Triticum aestivum (bread wheat). Its description in RNAcentral is "partial small subunit ribosomal RNA". Lineage: Eukaryota; Viridiplantae; Streptophyta; Magnoliopsida; Poales; Poaceae. The record is from RNAcentral.